RNAcentral lists this ribosomal RNA (2932 nucleotides) under Enterobacter cloacae. RNAcentral describes it as "bacterial LSU rRNA". It matches the Rfam family "Bacterial large subunit ribosomal RNA". RNAcentral also lists the same sequence under 1 other name. Lineage: Bacteria; Pseudomonadati; Pseudomonadota; Gammaproteobacteria; Enterobacterales; Enterobacteriaceae. The record is from RNAcentral.
GGGUUGUGAGGUUAAGCGACUAAGCGUACACGGUGGAUGCCCUGGCAGUCAGAGGCGAUGAAGGACGUGCUAAUCUGCGAAAAGCGCCGGCGAGGUGAUAUGAACCCUUGACCCGGCGAUGUCCGAAUGGGGAAACCCAGUGCAAUCCGUUGCACUAUCGUUAACUGAAUACAUAGGUUAACGAGGCGAACCGGGGGAACUGAAACAUCUAAGUACCCCGAGGAAAAGAAAUCAACCGAGAUUCCCCCAGUAGCGGCGAGCGAACGGGGAGCAGCCCGGAGUCUGAAUCAGCUUGUGUGUUAGUGGAACGGUCUGGAAAGUCCGACGGUACAGGGUGAUAGUCCCGUACACGAAAGCACACAUGCUGUGAACUCGAAGAGUAGGGCGGGACACGUGGUAUCCUGUCUGAAUAUGGGGGGACCAUCCUCCAAGGCUAAAUACUCCUGACUGACCGAUAGUGAACCAGUACCGUGAGGGAAAGGCGAAAAGAACCCCGGCGAGGGGAGUGAAAAAGAACCUGAAACCGUGUACGUACAAGCAGUGGGAGCCUCUUUAUGGGGUGACUGCGUACCUUUUGUAUAAUGGGUCAGCGACUUAUAUUCUGUAGCAAGGUUAACCGUAUAGGGGAGCCGAAGGGAAACCGAGUCUUAACUGGGCGUUAAGUUGCAGGGUAUAGACCCGAAACCCGGUGAUCUAGCCAUGGGCAGGUUGAAGGUUGGGUAACACUAACUGGAGGACCGAACCGACUAAUGUUGAAAAAUUAGCGGAUGACCUGUGGCUGGGGGUGAAAGGCCAAUCAAACCGGGAGAUAGCUGGUUCUCCCCGAAAGCUAUUUAGGUAGCGCCUCGUGAACUCAUCUUCGGGGGUAGAGCACUGUUUCGGCUAGGGGGCCAUCCCGGCUUACCAACCCGAUGCAAACUACGAAUACCGAAGAAUGUUAUCACGGGAGACACACGGCGGGUGCUAACGUCCGUCGUGAAGAGGGAAACAACCCAGACCGCCAGCUAAGGUCCCAAAGUCAUGGUUAAGUGGGAAACGAUGUGGGAAGGCACAGACAGCCAGGAUGUUGGCUUAGAAGCAGCCAUCAUUUAAAGAAAGCGUAAUAGCUCACUGGUCGAGUCGGCCUGCGCGGAAGAUGUAACGGGGCUAAACCAUGCACCGAAGCUGCGGCAGCGACACUAUGUGUUGUUGGGUAGGGGAGCGUUCUGUAAGCCGUUGAAGGUGUGCUGUGAGGCAUGCUGGAGGUAUCAGAAGUGCGAAUGCUGACAUAAGUAACGAUAAAGCGGGUGAAAAGCCCGCUCGCCGGAAGACCAAGGGUUCCUGUCCAACGUUAAUCGGGGCAGGGUGAGUCGACCCCUAAGGCGAGGCCGAAAGGCGUAGUCGAUGGGAAACAGGUUAAUAUUCCUGUACUUGGUGUUACUGCGAAGGGGGGACGGAGAAGGCUAUGUCAGCCGGGCGACGGUUGUCCCGGUUUAAGCAUGUAGGCGGAGGUUCCAGGUAAAUCCGGUACCUUAUUAACGCUGAGGUGUGAUGACGAGGCACUACGGUGCUGAAGUGAUAAAUGCCCUGCUUCCAGGAAAAGCCUCUAAGCAUCAGGUAACACGAAAUCGUACCCCAAACCGACACAGGUGGUCAGGUAGAGAAUACCAAGGCGCUUGAGAGAACUCGGGUGAAGGAACUAGGCAAAAUGGUGCCGUAACUUCGGGAGAAGGCACGCUGAUGUGUAGGUGAAGUCCCUGCGGACGGAGCUGAAAUCAGUCGAAGAUACCAGCUGGCUGCAACUGUUUAUUAAAAACACAGCACUGUGCAAACACGAAAGUGGACGUAUACGGUGUGACGCCUGCCCGGUGCCGGAAGGUUAAUUGAUGGGGUUAGCGGCAACGCGAAGCUCUUGAUCGAAGCCCCGGUAAACGGCGGCCGUAACUAUAACGGUCCUAAGGUAGCGAAAUUCCUUGUCGGGUAAGUUCCGACCUGCACGAAUGGCGUAAUGAUGGCCAGGCUGUCUCCACCCGAGACUCAGUGAAAUUGAACUCGCUGUGAAGAUGCAGUGUACCCGCGGCAAGACGGAAAGACCCCGUGAACCUUUACUAUAGCUUGACACUGAACACUGGUCCUUGAUGUGUAGGAUAGGUGGGAGGCUUUGAAGCGUGGACGCCAGUCUGCGUGGAGCCAACCUUGAAAUACCACCCUUUAAUGGCUGGUGUUCUAACGUAGACCCGUAAUCCGGGUUGCGGACAGUGUCUGGUGGGUAGUUUGACUGGGGCGGUCUCCUCCCAAAGAGUAACGGAGGAGCACGAAGGUUGGCUAAUCCUGGUCGGACAUCAGGAGGUUAGUGCAAUGGCAUAAGCCAGCUUGACUGCGAGCGUGACGGCGCGAGCAGGUGCGAAAGCAGGUCAUAGUGAUCCGGUGGUUCUGAAUGGAAGGGCCAUCGCUCAACGGAUAAAAGGUACUCCGGGGAUAACAGGCUGAUACCGCCCAAGAGUUCAUAUCGACGGCGGUGUUUGGCACCUCGAUGUCGGCUCAUCACAUCCUGGGGCUGAAGUAGGUCCCAAGGGUAUGGCUGUUCGCCAUUUAAAGUGGUACGCGAGCUGGGUUUAGAACGUCGUGAGACAGUUCGGUCCCUAUCUGCCGUGGGCGCUGGAGAAUUGAGGGGGGCUGCUCCUAGUACGAGAGGACCGGAGUGGACGCAUCACUGGUGUUCGGGUUGUCAUGCCAAUGGCACUGCCCGGUAGCUAAAUGCGGAAGAGAUAAGUGCUGAAAGCAUCUAAGCACGAAACUUGCCCCGAGAUGAGUUCUCCCUGAGACUUUAAGUCUCCUGAAGGAACGUUGAAGACGACGACGUUGAUAGGUCGGGUGUGUAAGCGCAGCGAUGCGUUGAGCUAACCGAUACUAAUGAACCGUGAGGCUUAACCUUACAACGCCGAAGGUGUUU